ACGCCCUAAGAGGUUGUGCUCUUGGGGUGGUUGGAAGCGGCCGGUGGGCCGGCGUAUGGCGGCCAGGCCUGGGAAGCCACGAGGCUGCCUGACGCCGUGGGGUCACUCUUCCUGAAGCCACAAGUCACCAAGACUGGAAGGGAAGGUCGGGGGCUGCCAGGGGCCAACCUUAGGUAUCACUGGUGGCGGUGGGCAAACCCACCAGACCAAGGGGACCGCCGCUGAGGACAGGCGAGGAGAAGAAAAUGUCUAGGGCCUGGCGGUAGAGAGCCAGGCCCCGAGGAGAGACAGGGCUCGCUGCCCCGGUGCAGAGGAGCAGUCCCGACGGAUAAGGAGUUGAGGCCCCAGGGAUGCUGCGCCCUGUCGAGCUAGAAGGGAUGGGCCACCAGAGUCUGAAAACCCCAGAUCACUUAUGUGAAAGGGUUCAAAGCUGAAACCGUCACAGAACAGAGUGGGAUGAAACACCUCAGAAGUGCGGCCAGACAUUUGAAGAACUGGCUGACACAGGAGGCAGCUGGUGCGCCUGGCCCCAGGGACCCGAGGAGCCCGGUGCGGGCCUUGCGCAAAUAGCCCCAGACCUUUCCGGCCAAGCUGCACCCAGCCCCGUCGCCAGAUCAGCUGCGCCAAAACCUUAGCGAUGCCCCGACGUGACCAAGCUCGCGCCACCAACUCUGGGAGCCUGUAGGGGUACCCCCUAAGACCCCGUACCUUCUCUGCCAGCCCUCCAAAGCCCUCCCUGCUCACCUUGUGCCCGUGUCCCAGAGGCAAGCGGGGGACCAUGGCUCCCUUGUCUCUGCUCUGUUUCCCUUGAGCUCCUGGUAGCUGCCCGCGGGGCUUCUCAGGAAGCGUGGUCCCGUGCCUCUGCCCCGGCCGAGCUGGGUGAGCUCCCCCCAGCCCCCACCGCCAGUCCUCUGCUCUGAUCACAGGUCGCGCUUCUCCUACAUGGUGCUCACGAUCUCAUGGAACAUACUGGCCGGACGCCUAGCUUCCCCUGCGGACGGAACCCCAGAGGGCGGGGCCUGCCCUUCUCACACACUCAGCACAGCACAGGCAGUGAGGGCGCAGAGUUGCUGGCUGGAUGGACGGAUGGAUGGACCAUCCAGAAGGAUUUGGACAGUUGGGACAUGAAAAAGGCAACUGAAGGGCUCUCACAAGUACAGAGUGGCCUUAUGAUAGUGCACAGACCGGGCUCGGGGAUGGGCGGCAUCCUGGAGUCUACGGAGAGCAGCUGCAAAGGGGAAGCUUCCUCCUUCCUGUCAGAGAAACGCAUUUCCCAAACACAUUCCCCUGCAAAGCUGUGAACCCGUCCCAUCAUAGCAGCCUCAUGCAGAGGGGGUGCGGAAUUCUCUGGGCUUGAGGACACCCCCUGAGCCCGUCUGUGGUCCUCGGCAGGGUCUGAUCUGGCUCGACAGGCACGGGGAGGGGGACGGAGGGGCCUCUGGUGCCCGGCUCUGCCAGGUCUGCAGUGGCUUUGUGCUGGGCAGGUCGUCCUAGUUCUGCCAGCCAGGCCUGGGUGGCCCCUGCAGGCAGGGUACCAGGCAGUACAGGGCCUGGCGAGUGAGACAAGGCCAAGGGCACCGAGAGGCCGAGAGGACAAUGAAGAACGGGGCCUUGGCUACCAGACAGCACGGGUCAAAGUCCAUGGCUUUGGAGACCAUGUUGGGGGUGGGGUGGGGGAGAUAGUGGGCCUCCUGGUCCAGUUCUGUGGCCAGGCACCCCUAGCCCUCUCCGCUUCUGAGCGCGCCCCACCCCCGGCGCGGUUAUAAUGCCAACUGCCACCCACUGCUCUCGCCCGUAGCCUUUCCCCCUGUCUCAGGAAAACAACGUGACUAUCCUAGCCAAGGCCAACCUUCUGCUUGUGGCUUCUGCCUGCCCUGGCCUCCUCCUCACCACCUGCUCAGCCCUGGGCACACUAAAGGGGCAGGAAUCCCUUCCAUGAGGUAUUUCCUCCAGUGGGAGAGCAAGGUAGCGUGUUAGAAAGUGCUGGGUUCUGUGCACUCGCACUCGGGCAGAGCAGGAGGAGGAGUGGGGGGGAACCAGAAGACAGGCUGCAGAUUUAAACAGGGGCCCCCAGGCUCCUUCCCCUCUGGAUCUGGGCCCCGGGCUUCUCUACCUUUGGCACUGCUGCUGUUUGGGGCUGGACCGCUGUCCUGCAUGCUGUGGGGUAUCUGGCAGCGUCCCCUGGCCUCUACCCCCGGAGGCUGGCAACCACCCUCUGCCUGUGGUAACAACCAAAGCUGUCUCCAGAUACUACCUGGCAUCCUUUUGGGGGGAAUCCAGGCACCACUGGAAGACUACAGUUAGCUUACACAGGUUUUACCUUGACUUCAUGAGAAGAAAUAAAAGACAAAAAGAUUUUACACAUCACCUGACCUGGACUUGAUCCUGCUGCCCCAGGGUAGCUGGGAUGUAAAGAGAGCCUCUGCCCUUGCAUGGGUCCUGGUGAUGGAGGUUGUUUGACCUGGAGGCUGAUCGACAUGGUGGGAAGAGCUGUAGGUCAGUGUGCAUCAUGGGCACCCGAGCAUAGACAGAUCUCUGAGCUGCACGUGAGGCCCUGGGAGGCCUUGGAGCCAGUGUGACCGCAGCAGGGCACGCAUGCCCCGCCCAUGGACUGUGGUCCCCGAAGCCGCUGUCCAACAGAAGGAACCAGGCUUCUCGUGAAAAGAGCUUAUUCCUAGGCCGAGGCGAGGAGCGAGGAGCACAGCGUUGCGGCAGAAGGUAAGGAAGAGCUCCAAAGUCUAAAUGGGAGCCAUGGCAGGGGGCACAGGUGCCCCCGAGAGUGCUCCUGGGGACCCAGAGUAAAACCGUCUGACUGACAAGCUAGCACUGGAUUCUGAUCCCCGAGUCCUCACUGUCGUAAGUAACUGAACAAAUGGAGAGAUGUGUACAAGAGGCAGAUGUCUUGCAUGGAGAAUUCCAAAGAAUAUAUUACAGGAUUUUGUGUCCCCUUAGUGCCCGCUGUUCUUGGUCACACGGGUUCGAAGAAUGCGGAGGUAGACCAGAUGGAGGGUGGUGGGCAGCAGAGCAAAGUUGACGGAGUGAGAGUGUAAAGCUCCUGGAGAGGGAAGGGGCUGGCGUGGGCAGCCCCUGGAGUUUCUAAGUUUAGGGGUUUUUACGAGCUCUUCUGCGGAACUAUCUUAAACAAUCAGGGUGUGGCCAGUCGUGCCGAGCGGGGCUUUGGUCACGUAUCUGUCUAUCUAUUAGGUUCAUGUCUACAUGCUGAUGGUCUUUUUUUUUUUUUUUUUUUUUUUUGCUGACGUCAAUGGGCUUGGGUCUUAACUGCCCCUUGCCUGUGAUAUUGACAGAUGCUUUUGUGGUUCAUUGUCUUAUUUUAGGGCGUUUUACAGAAGUCAUUUCUGCAAAGGCUGCAAAACAGAAUGUCCGUGCGGUCCUGUCCAAGUUGCAGAACAGGACGUCAGCACUGUUUGAUCUUAGCUGUCCUGACUCCUUAUUUCCUUGUUAGGGACCUUAGCCUGACUCCCUGACUGUCCAACUCACUCCUCACAAAUUCAUGUAAGACCCGCUUAAGAAGUGGGGCCGUAACUACCCAUCCCUUCAGUCUGGGCACCGCUCUGGGACUUGUUUCCAGGGCGCAGUGUGCAACCCGGGCGGAGGGGAACGCUGCACACAAGUCGGGGCCAAGGUUCCCAUCGCCAGCGACAGUCCGCUGAGAGCCCAGACCCAGACAGGAUGUGAUGAGGAGAUCUUCAUCAUGUCGGUGAGCCCCCACCCAAGCCCAUCACCCCGAGCGCAUCACCCCGAUCCAAGAACGAACCAA
This is a long non-coding RNA of Lutra lutra (Eurasian river otter), 3778 nucleotides long. RefSeq lists it as uncharacterized. Lineage: Eukaryota; Metazoa; Chordata; Mammalia; Carnivora; Mustelidae. The transcript is spliced from 4 exons. The record is from RefSeq and is a predicted model, not a curated record.